Molecule: ribosomal RNA, 253 nt
Filed under: uncultured bacterium
Lineage: Bacteria
Description: partial 16S ribosomal RNA
Rfam family: Bacterial small subunit ribosomal RNA
Source: RNAcentral
UACGUAGGGGGCAAGCGUUGUCCGGAAUUAUUGGGCGUAAAGAGCGUGUAGGCGGUCCGGUAAGUCCGCUGUGAAAGUCGGGGGCUCAACCCUCGAAUGCCGGUGGAUACUGUCGGGCUAGAGUGCGGAAGAGGCGAGUGGAAUUCCUGGUGUAGCGGUGAGAUGCGCAGAUAUCAGGAGGAACACCAAUUGCGAAGGCAGCUCGCUGGGACGUUACUGACGCUGAGACGCGAAAGCGUGGGGAGCAAACAGG